This 428-nucleotide ribosomal RNA is filed under the name uncultured bacterium. RNAcentral describes it as "bacterial SSU rRNA". It matches the Rfam family "Bacterial small subunit ribosomal RNA", at positions 355 to 776 of the family's 1533-position model. The record is from RNAcentral.
UUUCGAAUCAUUCACAAUGGGCGAAAGCCUGAUGGUGCGACGCCGCGUGAGGGAUGAAGGUCUUCGGAUUGUAAACCUCUGUCACCGGGGAAGAAACGCUUCAAGUUAAUAGCUUGAAGCCUGACUUAACCCGGAGAGGAAGCAGUGGCUAACUCUGUGCCAGCAGCCGCGGUAAUACAGAGACUGCAAGCGUUAUUCGGAUUCACUGGGCGUAAAGGGUGCGCAGGUGGCCAAGUGUGUGAGGCGUGAAAGCCCGGGGCUUAACCCCGGAAUUGCACCUCAAACUACUUGGCUAGAGCAUUGGAGAGGGGAGCAGAAUUCAUGGUGUAGCAGUGAAAUGCGUAGAUAUCAUGAGGAAUACCAGAGGCGAAGGCGGCUCCCUGGACAAUUGCUGACACUCAGGCACGAAAGCGUGGGGAGCAAAAGGG